UACGUAGGGUGCAAGCGUUAAUCGGAAUUACUGGGCGUAAAGCGUGCGCAGGCGGUUUUGUAAGUCUGUCGUGAAAGCCCCGGGCUCAACCUGGGAAUUGCGAUGGAGACUGCAAGGCUUGAAUCUGGCAGAGGGGGGUAGAAUUCCACGUGUAGCAGUGAAAUGCGUAGAGAUGUGGAGGAACACCGAUGGCGAAGGCAGCCCCCUGGGUCAAGAUUGACGCUCAUGCACGGAAAGCGUGGGGAGCAAACAGG
This 254-nucleotide ribosomal RNA is filed under the name uncultured bacterium. RNAcentral describes it as "partial 16S ribosomal RNA". It matches the Rfam family "Bacterial small subunit ribosomal RNA", at positions 524 to 776 of the family's 1533-position model. The record is from RNAcentral.